AACCUCUGAUCCAGCCAUGCCGCGUGAGUGAUAGAAGCCUUAGGGUUGUAAAGCACAUUUCAGCUGGUGAAGAUGAUCGACGGUACACCAAGAGAAAGAAGCCCCGGCUAACUU
This 114-nucleotide ribosomal RNA is filed under the name uncultured bacterium. RNAcentral's name for it is "partial 16S ribosomal RNA". The record is from RNAcentral.